ACAACACAAGCGCUGAUUGGAUCUCACUCCGGCCAACGUUUGUGAUCAGACAAAUAAAAAAAAUGAGCCAGACAGCUGCUGGGUAACUAUCAAAUGAAAAACUAAACGAGAUAGACGGACUCGGCCCACCGCCUAACAUGUAUAUAGCUUUCCAAAGAACAAGUGGAGGUAGUGAGACAUGGAAUAGGAGGUUGGAGGAGCUUUGCAGCACAAGCUGGGCCACUGAGGAGAGCUGGUUGGAGAGAAGAUUGUAGAUGUGCUGAUACUUGCUCCAUGACAGAAGAAAAGAACAUUUGAUCUGGGGGAAUAAAUGAUAAAUAAAACACUUGCACAA
Long non-coding RNA from Xyrauchen texanus (razorback sucker), 334 nucleotides. RefSeq lists it as uncharacterized. The record is from RefSeq and is a predicted model, not a curated record. The transcript is spliced from 4 exons. Lineage: Eukaryota; Metazoa; Chordata; Actinopteri; Cypriniformes; Catostomidae.